CCCUUAGAUGUUCUGGGCUGCACGCGUGCUACACUGAUAUUGCCAAUAUGUCAUUCUUAUCCGAAAUGGAUUGGGUAAUCAAGUAAUGAAAUUUCAUGCUUGGAAUCGGUAAUUGCAAUUUUAUCGUGAACGAGGAAUUCCUAGUAAGCACUAGUCAUCAGCUAAUGUUGAUUACGUCCCUGCCCUUUGUACACACCGCCCGUCGCUCCUACCGAUUGAAUGUUCCGGUGAGCUCUUCGGACUGCGCGGUCUGCAGUUUCUGCGUUCCGUGCGGAAAGUUGCGCAAACCUUAACAUUUAGAGGAAGGAGAAGUCGUAACA
RNAcentral lists this ribosomal RNA (320 nucleotides) under uncultured eukaryote. Its description in RNAcentral is "partial 18S ribosomal RNA". It matches the Rfam family "Eukaryotic small subunit ribosomal RNA", at positions 1470 to 1796 of the family's 1831-position model. The record is from RNAcentral.